GAUGAACGCUGGCGGCGUGCCUAAUACAUGCAAGUCGAGCGAACAGACGAGGAGCUUGCUCCUCGGACGUUAGCGGCGGACGGGUGAGUAACACGUGGAUAACCUACCUAUAAGACUGGGAUAACUUCGGGAAACCGGAUCUAAUACCGGAUAAUAUAUUGAACCGCAUGGUUCAAUAGUGAAAGACGGUUUUGCGGUCACUUAUAGAUGGAUCCGCGCCGCAUUAGCUAGUUGGUAAGGUAACGGCUUACCAAGGCAACGAUGCGUAGCCGACCUAAGAGGGUGAUCGGCCACACUGGAACUGAGACACGGUCCAGAGUCCUAAGGGAGGCAGCAGUAGGGAAUCUUACGCAAUGGGCGAAAGCCUGACGGAGCAACGCCGCGUGAGUGAUGACGGUCUUCGGAUCGUAAAAAUCUGUUAUGAGGGAAGAACAAAUGUGUAAGUAACUAUGCCCGUCUUGACGGUACCUAAUCGGAAAGCAACGGCUAACUACGUG
Molecule: ribosomal RNA, 497 nt
Filed under: uncultured bacterium
Lineage: Bacteria
Description: partial 16S ribosomal RNA
Rfam family: Bacterial small subunit ribosomal RNA
Source: RNAcentral